UACGUAGGGGGCAAGCGUUAUCCGGAUUUACUGGGUGUAAAGGGAGCGCAGACGGCAGUGCAAGUCUGAUGUGAAAGCCCGGGGCUCAACCCCGGAACUGCAUUGGAAACUGUACAGCUUGAGUGUCGGAGAGGUAAGCGGAAUUCCUAGUGUAGCGGUGAAAUGCGUAGAUAUUAGGAGGAACACCGGUGGCGAAGGCGGCUUACUGGACGAUUACUGACGUUGAGGCUCGAAAGCGUGGGGAGCAAACAGGAUUAGAUACCCGGGUAGUCCCUGA
RNAcentral lists this ribosomal RNA (277 nucleotides) under uncultured prokaryote. Its description in RNAcentral is "partial 16S ribosomal RNA". It matches the Rfam family "Bacterial small subunit ribosomal RNA", at positions 524 to 800 of the family's 1533-position model. The record is from RNAcentral.